This 253-nucleotide ribosomal RNA is filed under the name uncultured prokaryote. RNAcentral describes it as "partial 16S ribosomal RNA". It matches the Rfam family "Bacterial small subunit ribosomal RNA", at positions 525 to 777 of the family's 1533-position model. The record is from RNAcentral.
ACGUAGGUGGCAAGCGUUGUCCGGAUUUACUGGGCGUAAAGCGCGCGCAGGCGGACUGGUAAGUCUGGGGUGAAAUCUCACGGCUCAACUGUGAGCGGUCCCCGGAUACUGCCGGUCUUGAGGGGCUCAGAGGAGAGUGGAAUUCCCGGUGUAGUGGUGGAAUGCGUAGAUAUCGGGAGGAACACCAGUGGCGAAAGCGACUCUCUGGGGGCAACCUGACGCUGAGGCGCGAAAGCGUGGGGAGCAAACCGGA